Thalassophryne amazonica is the source of this 89-nucleotide long non-coding RNA. RefSeq lists it as uncharacterized. The record is from RefSeq and is a predicted model, not a curated record. NCBI's taxonomy places the organism in Eukaryota, Metazoa, Chordata, Actinopteri, Batrachoidiformes, Batrachoididae. The transcript has 4 exons.
CUAUUGUUUUGCAAUAAAUUGAGUUGGACAAAAACACUUAUUUGUCAGGAACAAAAAUCGUGUUACACAGUGUUAUUGCAUUGAUGGUA